This 347-nucleotide ribosomal RNA is filed under the name uncultured bacterium. RNAcentral describes it as "bacterial SSU rRNA". It matches the Rfam family "Bacterial small subunit ribosomal RNA", at positions 1 to 334 of the family's 1533-position model. The record is from RNAcentral.
CUAUACUAUUCAGAGUUUGAUCCUGGCUCAGGACGAACGCUGGCGGCGUGCCUAAUACAUGCAAGUAGAACGCUGAGGACUGGUGCUUGCACUGGUCUAAGGAGUUGCGAACGGGUGAGUAACGCGUAGGUAACCUACCUCAUAGCGGGGGAUAACUAUUGGAAACGAUAGCUAAUACCGCAUAACAAUAGGGUACACAUGUACCCUAUUUAAAAGGGGCAAAUGCUUCACUAUGAGAUGGACCUGCGUUGUAUUAGCUAGUUGGUAAGGUAACGGCUUACCAAGGCGACGAUACAUAGCCGACCUGAGAGGGUGAUCGGCCACACUGGGACUGAGACACGGCCCAG